Molecule: ribosomal RNA, 254 nt
Filed under: uncultured bacterium
Lineage: Bacteria
Description: partial 16S ribosomal RNA
Rfam family: Bacterial small subunit ribosomal RNA
Source: RNAcentral
CACGUAGGGGGCAAGCGUUGUCCGGAUUUAUUGGGCGUAAAGGGCUCGUAGGCGGUUCGACAAGUCGGGUGUGAAACCUCCAGGCUCAACCUGGAGUCGCCACUCGAAACUGUUGUGACUUGAGUCCGGUAGGGGAGCAUGGAAUUCCUGGUGUAGCGGUGGAAUGCGCAGAUAUCAGGAGGAACACCAGUGGCGAAGGCGAUGCUCUGGGCCGGUACUGACGCUGAGGAGCGAAAGCAUGGGGAGCGAACAGG